CCAGAUGACAGGUGCUGCAUGGCUGUCGUCAGCUCGUGUUGUGAAAUGUUCGGUUAAGUCCGUCAACGAGCGCAACCCUCAUCGUAUGUUAUAUUUCUCAUGCGAGACUGCCCUGGUUAACAGGGAGGAAGGUGGGGAUGACGUCUAGUCAGCAUGGCUCUUACGCCUCGGGCUACACACGCGUUACAAUGGCCGGUACAAUGGGUUGCCAACCAGCAAUGGGGAGCUAAUCCCACCAAAACCGGUCCCAGUUCGGAUUGAGGGCUGCAACUCGCCCUCAUGAAGUCGGAAUCGCUAGUAAACGUAAAUCAGCAUGUUACGUUGAAUUCGUUCCCGGGUCUU
Molecule: ribosomal RNA, 342 nt
Filed under: uncultured bacterium
Lineage: Bacteria
Description: bacterial SSU rRNA
Rfam family: Bacterial small subunit ribosomal RNA
Source: RNAcentral